This 575-nucleotide long non-coding RNA is filed under the name Ananas comosus (pineapple). RNAcentral describes it as "long non-coding RNA (ACOM_LNC030229)". Lineage: Eukaryota; Viridiplantae; Streptophyta; Magnoliopsida; Poales; Bromeliaceae. The record is from RNAcentral.
UAUAGACCCCCCAAACAGUAUUACAACUUUCAAUUUAGCAGUUCAGAAUCUGAUACUUUUCGCCGGAGCCUUUCUGAAUGUCCGUUUGUUCUCAAAUUUGACAGUCAGGCUCGGUUUAACUUAACAAGAAGAACGAAAUUUUAAUCUUUCAGUUUUGACCAUUUUUUGUCACCGAAAGCUCUACCGACUAAAAUCUCUAACAGAUAGCAGUCAUAUUUUAUUUUUCACUUUCCAGGUGUCGGAAUGACAUAAAACUUUAAAUCUAACCUCAUAAAAAUAAUUUCGACAUAUUCUCUAAUUUUCAUAAUUUUCUAACACUGUGAAUUCUCUGCUAAAAUAUCAGUCCCGCCUCUUACAGAAAAUUCUAAAUCUUCUAUUUCCAUUCUAAUUUUAGCACAAGUCAUUUCUGACUUACAUUUUACUUCUUCAAGUCCAAUAAAAAAUAGUAUCUCACACUAUUUUUAUUUAUAUUUAUUUUUAUAUUAAAAUUCGGUACAUUACAUUCCACCCUUCUAAAAAAAAGUUUCGUCCUUAAAACUUAAACCACUCCUCAACUCCAUUUCUCGAGUAAUUGA